GGGCAGCAAUGUCCCAAGGCGAGUGCAGGGCCAAAGUCGCCGCCGCCCGGAGUGCUCGAGCACUUUGCCAGCAAGGCAGCGUUUCCGCUCUUCUGUUCGCCGCUAGUGGUGGUGGUGAUGAUGGCUUGGUUGAUAAGACGUGGACGC
RNAcentral lists this small RNA (147 nucleotides) under Karenia brevis. Its description in RNAcentral is "partial Cyanobacteria transfer-messenger RNA". The record is from RNAcentral. Lineage: Eukaryota; Dinophyceae; Gymnodiniales; Kareniaceae.